UUUCUUUUACUGAAAGGCAAGUUGCUGUUGUGCUGGAGCUGAGAAGAGGUCUGCUGCCUGCAGUGGGUCCAUCUCUCUCAAGUUAUCGCAGUAUUGUAGCUCUCAAAGUUCAAAAAAGUAUGGUGGAAGCUGUUGCCAAGGUUCCGACCAGAAAAGACAGCCAGUAUAAAAGGGUCCACACCACUGAUCUCUACUACAGGGCAUGGACAGCACAUCGAGCACCCUCGACUGAAGCCAACCUUGUCCCGGAAGUUGGUGCUUCACAACUUUGCGGCAGCACUUCGUUUGCACGGCCUGUGGAGACAAGGUUUCUUAGACACGGCCAUGGCCCUCAAGGAAGAUGCCGAGGCCACAGGCAGUUCCUCCAGUGACCGUGAAAAGGUCCCCUGGGGCACAAGUCUAAUUUGGCACCCCUACCUUUCUCCUGCAGCUUUUCUGUCUACUUAGCUAACCAGGUGGGUCAAUGAUGGCAAAGGGAAAAAAGAAUCAACAGCUUCAAACGUAGAACUUGCUCAAGCUCAACGCAUUUUUGGUGUGAAGUUUUUCCCUUAUCAUUUAUCAAAAAACGGGUAAUAAGUAUAUGAUAUGGUCUUCAUACGGACACCUCUUUCCCACAGAGAAUUAGCAGUAAAAAAAGCAGCUUAUGAAGGCUUGAAUAUUAGCUAGGAUGAUGUGGCAUAGAUAGGACAAUGAUUAUGAAUGUUUCUGGUAAAGGUAGUGGUAGUAGAGUGAAUAAUCAGUUUAUAUAUAGAUUAAAAGACAUUUCGUUCCAAUGCCAGAAUUUUAAAUCAUCCUAAAUAAUUCUUGCGUUUGAUAGUCUAUGCGCAUUGAGUGACAGUGCUUCUUGAUGCUUGCUUCUUGCUGACAUCAUUCUUAUGCUGCAUAAUUCACCUGUUUAAAUUCCCUAUUUCUCCCGUUCAAGCAACUUUACAUUCAUCAUAACAUACCUUGUAGAUGAGUUCCAGAAACUUGCUGAUGAGAUUAGGGGGCGGCGUGCACCCCAGGCUUAGAUAUGCAUUCAAGAGCCUAAUAUCUUGCAAGUGUUAGAAUU
Molecule: non-coding RNA, 1051 nt
Organism: Dermacentor andersoni
Lineage: Eukaryota; Metazoa; Arthropoda; Arachnida; Ixodida; Ixodidae
Source: RefSeq, a predicted model, not a curated record